AACAAGGCGUACCUGCGGACCUGCGGAAGGAUCAUUACAAGUGACCCCGGUUUACCACCGGGAUGUUCAUAACCCUUUGUUGUCCGACUCUGUUGCCUCCGGGGCGACCCUGCCUUCGGGCGGGGGCUCCGGGUGGACACUUCAAACUCUUGCGUAACUUUGCAGUCUGAGUAAACUUAAUUAAUAAAUUAAAACUUUUAACAAUGGAUCU
Molecule: unclassified non-coding RNA, 211 nt
Filed under: soil metagenome
Description: partial contains 5.8S ribosomal RNA, internal transcribed spacer 2, and large subunit ribosomal RNA
Source: RNAcentral